UAGAAGUUGAUGGAUUAAAGGAGUGGGAAGAGUGGAUAAUAGAAGAAGGCUCCAUGCCUCUUCUCCAUACUCUCGAAAUUGAAUCUUGUCCAAAGUUAAAGGAGCUUCCUGAUGGGCUGCGAUUCAUCACUUCUUUGAAGAGUCUGACCUUUUAUAAUAUGGGAAAGAGAUGGGAGAAGAGACUGGCGAACGGAGGCAAAGAUUAUUACAAAGUCCAACACAUCCCUUCUGUUGAAUUCAUUUAAAGUUGAUCUCGGCAAUGAUGAGUCAGACAGCAGCUGAAGGAGACUCUCAGCAAUUACGGACUCUCAGGUAUAUAUUAUCUAGGAAUGAACUUCUCGGCAACUUCUUUGGAUUUUCUUAAAGUACACUUUAGCUAAUAGACUAAUCCGUUCGUCGGGUAACAACAGAGAAAUAUGAAGUGGGAGAAACGGGCCAGCCAUGCUAUCUAUAAGUUGAAGAACGUUUUCAGGCAUGCCCAAAGCAAUGUAUUUGCUGCAGCCAACAAGCAUGUAAAGGAUGAGCUGAGACUACAUAUUGUUCCAAGUCCUGAAGUGUUUCAAUCUAAGUCUUGAGACUACAUAAGGUUAACUGAAGCUUCGGUUUUCAGGCAACGCUUGGUUAACAUACAAGGACAAAAGCAAACUUACAUGAAUGAUGUUUUCAAACCAUCGUCAUAAUAAUACUGAUGAAGAAACCUUCAAACUUUCGUAUUGUGACUUGACUUAUUUCUUCACCAUUAGCUUUGAUGAAAAAUAGGGUCUCCUUACCAUCCACAAGACCAAGAAAAUAAUGAUUCUCGGACCAUAUUCCAGAAGUAAAUGAUCUUGAUAUGCUGGCAGAUACAGAGAACAAAUGUUAGAAGACCAUAGUAAGGUUUCACAAAACGAUGAAUUCACAUACUAUAUUAUGUGUAUCAAUGUAAUAACUAUAUUUAUUUAAAGUACACAUUUGCAUAAAAUCACAAAAGCUGGAAACAGGCAGGUUAAUUUAUUGUUUACCGAUAUCAGUUAUUUAAGUAUGAGAUAAAAAUGAUUAAAUUACAGUUAAAACAAACUAAAAUUCAAAAUUACAAAAGACAGCUAAAUAUAUAAAAGUUUUAUCUAGAUUAUUAAAACAAUGUAACUUGAUUUCAGUUGUUACAAAUCAGUAUCCAAUAGACAAUGAAAAAGAGUGAGUGGUGCUCGUGAUGGUGAUGGUGAUGGUGAUGGUGAUGGUGAGUGGUGUGGUGGAUUUGCUCUCAAUAUAGGGUCUGGUGGAGCUUUGGAGGGUCUACUAUGGCCUUGUGAUUGCUUGGGAAAAAAACAUAAGUAGACUGGAGGUGGAAGUUGAUUCUAAAAUGGUGGUGAGUUUUCUUACGACAGGGAUCGAGGAUACUCACUCACUGUCUUUUCUGAUACGCCUGUGCCAUGGCUUCUUGACGAGGGACUGGUUGGUUAGAAUUGUUCAUGUGUAUAGGGAAGCUAAGCUGAUGGUUUAGCUAACCUUGCUAUUUCUCUUCUUUUUGGUUUUCAUCAUUUUGAUAUUGUUCCGAUAGAGCUUGUUAGUUUGAUACGAGAGGACAUCGAUGGUUCAUUACGGCCACGACAAGUUCAAGAAGUUUGAAGUUUUCUUUUUAAUAAAAUUGGGAGGUUUUUUCCUAUCUUCCUACCAAAAAAAAAAAUAGACACUGAAAAAGAGUGGAAGAAGAUGAAAAAUAUAGAGUUGAUUACUUAAUGGGCCACAUUAUGUCUUUCUCUUACUCUUAAAGACACAUAGCACAUGUGAGGCACUUUCCCUUGCCCAAAGACAAAAAGUUGACUAAUAUACCCUUACCAAAGGCAGCUUGAUAUUUUGGUUCCCAAAAGGAAACCAGUUUGGUCUAUGGAGCUCGGUUUAGGUUUAGGUUUAUUGAUUGAAGUCACUUAAUUUAGACCGUCAGAUCUGGAUCUUGUGUUUCUAAUCAAAGGCCAAAAUUAAAACUUAAGAAGUAAGACAGCUAUGAUAAAGGACGUAAAUUUGUUGUGUUGGGUGUGGAGGAAGCCACUCUCGUUGUUAAAGUUUCUGUCUUUAUUGGAGCUGUUCUUGGCAAACAUUGAAGGUGUCGAUUUGUUCUUGUUUUGGGUUUGACAUUAAUCGAUCCAAGUCAUUCACUUUAACGCUUGAUAUUUGUGUUUCAGGUUGGUGCGAUGGAGGAUCAGUGCAUGGUCAUGUGCGGGGCUGUUGUUUGGGUGGGCACUAGCAUCGUAGAUGGGCGAAAGAGGACGAAGAGAUGGGGGAGUAGUUGGAUUGGUAGCAAAGGGGGGUGUGUUGAGAAUUGAGUUGGGGGAGGAGCAGAUGGGGGAGGUGUGGGGAAANNNNNNNNNNNNNNNNNNNNNNNNNNNNNNNNNNNNNNNNNNNNNNNNNNNNNNNNNNNNNNNNNNNNNNNNNNNNNNNNNNNNNNNNNNNNNNNNNNNNNNNNNNNNNNNNNNNNNNNNNNNNNNNNNNNNNNNNNNNNNNNNNNNNNNNNNNNNNNNNNNNNGUAGGGUUUGGUCGAAAUCGCCGCAAGGCGGAGUGACAGAGAUUGUGUGAAGAAGUGAAAGAGAUGAAAGGAUCUAGCUGGAACCGUCGAAGGAGAGACUGUGAAGAGAGUAGUUCUAGGGUUUGGUCGAAAUCGCCGCAAGGAGGCGUGAGAGAAAGAGAGAGAGAGAAUCGUAAAAGAGAGAGAAAUGUGUAAAUUUGAAUUAGAAAUUGGUUUGGUACAAAGGCAUAAACCGAUGUAUAGGAUUUUGUUCUGGUUUGGUUUUUCUACUUUCUCUACCAUAAGGGUAUAGAAGACAAUGACUAAGGAAGAAGUGUGUGACAUGUGCAAUGUGUCUUAGAGAGUAAAUCCAAAGACAUAAAGUGUCUUAGAAGGUAAAAAAUUCAAAAAUAUAAGGCUAUAAGCUAAUCAACAGAAAUGAUUAGUUUUAUUUUAUUCUAGUGAGCUUACUUUUUUCCUGGAAAUAUUUUAAAGAAUUUAAUUUAGCUAAUAUAUUCUAGUUUUCUAUACAUUUAUUAGUUUAUUAUUGAAUUCAAAAAUGAAAUAAUGUUAGUUAAUCCUAACACAAAAAAAAUUAAUAAAAAACUAAACUAAUUUUCAAAUUGUAUGGGGUCAGAUGACUUCCUCUUAACGUCCUGCCACGUAGGUAAAUAACAUAUCUAAUGGUUCUUGCCUAGCUUCACAAGAUUUUAAGAUUAUUGUCCUCAGGUGAUGUACGCCACUUCUCUUAUCGACAUGAUAUCAUUUCUGUUUUGGUUAAAUAGUAAAUACUUUCAUUUCCUGUUUCUUUGUUAAAAGUUUUUCCUUUCUAAACCAAAAAAAUUAUUAUUACAAAACACAUCUUGUUCGCUCAGACAUGACGAGGGAAACAAGGCCAAGAGAAAGUGACAUGAAACUCUUCAGCAAAAAAAAGAAAAAAAAACAUGAAUCAUUCACUCAACUUGCAUACAUCCAUGAACUUCUGGACUGCGUUAUGAUACUGAGUUCCCUGCAACCAUACAACAAACAUUAAGCAUUUCCUCAACAGUUUAUGUAUCUUCUUGAACUCGUAGUUAAAUUUCUGAUUUUGAUAAAUAUUCAUGGGCAAAUGAUAUAUAACAUCAAUAAAUGGAUGUAGACUACGUUGACAUGGCAAGACGGUAAGAAUUCACAUUCUUGUGGUUGCCGUUGAGAUUACAUGAUAAGACGAAGUUGGAAUUAGGAAAUCUGGUCAACCUGGAGACAUUGGAGUGUUUCUCCACAAAACAUGGGAGAGUGACAGAUCUAAAGGGUAUGACACGGCUCAGAUCUCUCUCUAUCUAUAUUGGAGACCAGAGGUAUACCAUGGAAACUCUAUCUUCAUCUCUCAGUAAACUUUCAGAUUUGGAGAGUCUUACUAUAGAUAACUACGACGGUUUUUAUACUCCCACGAAUGAUGAUGAAGAAGGAUUUGUUUGGGAUUUUUUUAAUCUCAAACAGUUGAAUUUGGAGAUAUAUAUGCCAAGGUUACCUGAUGCGCAACGCUUUCCUUCUCACCUUAAAACCAUUGAGCUAGCUUAUUGUUGUUUGACAGAGGACCCAAUGCCGAUUCUAGAGAAGUUGCUUCACUUGAAAGAGAUUAGGUUAUGGAGUAAGUCUUUCUGUGGGAGGAGAAUGGAUUGCUCAAGGGAUGGGUUUCCUCAAUUGCAGAAGCUAAGAUUUGAUGGAUUAGAGGAGUGGGAAGAGUGGAUAGUAGAAGAAGGCUCUAUGCCCCUUCUCUGUACUCUCUGGAUUUACGGAUGCAGAAAAUUAAAGGAGAUUCCUGAUGGGCUGCGAUUCAUCACUAACUUGGAGGAUCUGAUUGUUUAUGAUGUGGGAGAUGAAUUCGAUUUGAGAUUGUCGGAAGGAUACUUGCUUUCUCACCUUACAACCAUAUCUCUAAGUCGUUGUCGUUUGACAGAGGACCCAAUGCCUAUUUUAGAGAAGCUUCUUCACUUGAAAGAGAUUAGUUUACUUGAUCGAUCUUUCAGUGGGAGGAGAAUGGUUUGCUCGAGGGAUGGGUUUCCUCAAUUGCAGAAGCUAAAAUUUUAUGGAUUAAAGGAGUGGGAAGAGUGGAUAGUAGAAGAAGGUUCCAUGCCCCUUCUCUAUACUCUUGAUAUUUGGUCUUGCAGAGAAUUAAAGGAGAUUCCGUUCCGAUUCAUCACUUCCUUGCACGAUCUUGCUGUUGGUCAAUCAAGUAUUAGAUUGUUGGAAACCUGCUUGCCUUCUUUCCUUACAACCAUAUCUCUAAUUGAUUUUCGUUUGACAGAGGAUCAGAUGAUGAUUCUAGAGAAGUUGCUUCACUUGAAAGAUGUUCAGUUAAAUCGUUGUUUCUGUGGGGGAAGAAUGGUUUGCUCGAGGGGUGGGUUUCCUCAAUUGAAGAAUCUAAAAUUUAAGAGAUUAGAGGAGUGGGAAGAGUGGAUAAUAGAAGAAGGCUCCAUGCCUCUUCUCCAUACGCUCGAAAUUGAAUCUUGUCCAAAGUUAAAGGAGCUUCCUGAUGGGCUGCGAUUCAUCACUUCUUUGAAGAGUCUGACCUUUUAUAAUAUGGGAAAGAGAUGGGAGAAGAGACUGGCGAACGGAGGAAAAGAUUAUUACAAAGUCC
RNAcentral lists this long non-coding RNA (5099 nucleotides) under Brassica napus (rape). RNAcentral's name for it is "long non-coding RNA (BNAP_LNC001856)". The record is from RNAcentral. Lineage: Eukaryota; Viridiplantae; Streptophyta; Magnoliopsida; Brassicales; Brassicaceae.